Long non-coding RNA from Notolabrus celidotus (New Zealand spotty), 213 nucleotides. RefSeq lists it as uncharacterized. The transcript is spliced from 2 exons. The record is from RefSeq and is a predicted model, not a curated record. NCBI's taxonomy places the organism in Eukaryota, Metazoa, Chordata, Actinopteri, Labriformes, Labridae.
AGCAACAUCAGGUUGACAAAGAGACUCUAGGAGGACUGAACGAAAGUCCACAGCAGGAUCCGGAUGGUGUAGCCCUGUCGCAGCAGCUUGAUGAGCCGAGCAGCUCUGAACAGCCUCAGGAAACUCAGGUUGAUCAUCUUAUCCUGGAAGAGACAGCAGAGACUCAGUGAGACAUAAAAAAAGAGACUCUGUCAUGAGUCAAUGUUUAGUUCA